Pelobates cultripes (western spadefoot toad) is the source of this 243-nucleotide non-coding RNA. The record is from the annotation of a GenBank genome assembly. NCBI's taxonomy places the organism in Eukaryota, Metazoa, Chordata, Amphibia, Anura, Pelobatidae.
CACACAGACACUAACUCACUCACUAGCAGACACACACUAACAGACACACACACACUCACUGACACACACACUCACAAUCAGACACACACAAACACACUCACUCACUAGCAGACACACACACUCACUGACAAACACACUCACACUAACAGUCAGACACACACACACUCACUAACAGACACACACACUCACUGACAGACACACUCACUAACAGAUACACACACUAACAGACACACUCACUAACAG